Molecule: long non-coding RNA, 1920 nt
Filed under: Selaginella moellendorffii
Lineage: Eukaryota; Viridiplantae; Streptophyta; Lycopodiopsida; Selaginellales; Selaginellaceae
Description: long non-coding RNA (SMOE_LNC000956)
Source: RNAcentral
CUCCCCGCCGCCCCCGGUAUACAAAUAUAAGUCACCUCCUCCCCCCGUCUACCACUACAGCUCGCCACCACCGCCGGUUUACAAGUACAAGUCGCCACCACCACCUGUGUACCAUGCCCCGGCUCCUGUUUACAAGUACGAGUCGCCCCCCCCACCGGUUUACAAGUACAGCUCCCCUCCACCGCCGGUCUACAAAUAUAAGUCGCCACCACCUCCUGUGUACCACGCCCCGGCUCCUGUUUACAAGUACAAGUCACCUCCUCCCCCCGUCUACCACUACAGCUCGCCACCACCGCCGGUUUACAAGUACAAGUCACCACCACCACCUGUGUACCACGCCCCGGCACCAGUUUACAAGUACAACUCGCCACCACCCCCAGUUUACAAGUACAGCUCGCCACCACCACCUGUUUACAAAUACAAGUCGCCACCACCACCUGUGUACCACACCCCGGCUCCUGUUUACAAGUACGAGUCGCCUCCUCCGCCGGUGUACAAGUACAGCUCCCCGCCGCCACCGGUCUACAAAUAUAAGUCGCCACCACCACCUGUGUACCACGUCCCAGCGCCGGUUUACAAGUACGAAUCUCCUCCGCCACCGGUGUACAAGUACAGCUCUCCGCCACCACCAGUCUACAAGUAUAAGUCGCCACCACCACCUGUGUACCACGCCCCUGCUCCAGUCUACAAGUACAAAUCUCCUCCGCCACCGGUGUACAAGUACAGCUCGCCACCACCACCGGUUUACAAAUACAAGUCGCCUCCUCCACCUGUUUACCACGCCCCGGCUCCAGUCUACAAGUACAAAUCCCCGCCACCACCGGUGUAUCACUACAGCUCCCCGCCACCACCUGUUUACAAGUAUAAGUCUCCACCGCCGCCUGUUUACCACGCUCCCGCCCCAGUCUACAAGUAUAAGUCACCGCCGCCACCUGUUUACCACUACAGCUCCCCACCACCCCCGGUUUACAAGUACAAAUCUCCUCCUCCCCCUGUCUACCACGCUCCAGCACCGGUUUACAAGUAUAAGUCUCCGCCGCCACCGGUCUAUCACUACAGCUCCCCGCCACCACCGGUGUACAAGUACAAGUCGCCACCACCGCCUGUGUACCACGCUCCAGCACCGGUUUACAAGUAUAAGUCGCCUCCUCCACCUGUUUACCACUACAGCUCGCCACCACCGCCGGUCUACAAGUACAAAUCCCCGCCACCUCCUGUGUACCACGCCCCGGCUCCAGUUUACAAGUAUAAGUCACCACCGCCUCCGGUCUACAAGUACCAAUCCCCGCCUCCACCGGUGUACCAUUCCCCAGCGCCGGUUUACAAGUACCAGUCUCCUCCUCCUCCUGUUUAUUAGCUCGUCGCAAGCUAGAGGCACACGCAUAAGGUGAGCAAAAUCUCGUCGCUUACCAGGAUCUCUGACGAACGUUUCUUUCUCGCUUUCUUUUCAUUUUCUUUGAUCCGAUCCAGGUAGAAGAUGACAACAAGUGCUGCAGGAUUUUCCUUGAAAUAAGGACACGCGUGGCUGCAGUGGAAACGGAGCUGCUGCACAGAAAAAGAGAGAUGUGAGAACGCGAGUGUAUAUAGAAAACUGGACAAAAAGAAAACAAAGAAGCAUCAUCACAGGAGGCCAUCCACGAAGUGUUCAGGGAUUCUUUCGAGGGUUGGACGUUACCUUGGUUCAUCCCGGUUUUUCAUAAAAUAAGCUCGACGAGGGCGCAAUGUUUUUUUCUUCUUCUUCUUCUUCGUUGUUUACCUCUGAUCGUUUGCUUGUUCUUCUAAUGGACGCCUUUCCAGUUUGAACGAUAUAUUCCUUCUGUAGCUUAGCUUUGUGAUCGUCAAAGAAAAAAUGCUCCUUGCCUGGAAAGAUCGGUGAUCACAGCCAAGCUUUUGUGUACGUCAAAGAAAAAUCCUUCUGGA